GGCAAGGCUAGAUAAAUUAAAGGUUAAGUAAGGUCAGUGAAGGUUAGGAUCGUGGAUUGUUUACUUAGUUAGGUGAGGAAGUAAAGUUGAUAGGUAGGGAAAGGCUUGACAAGUUAAAGGUUAAGUAAGGUCAGAGAAGGUUAAGAUCGUGGUUUGUUUACUUAGUUAGGUGAACAAGUAAAGUACAUAGGUAGGGAAAGGCUAGAUAAAUUAAAGGUAAGUAAGGUCAGGGAAGGUUAAGAUCGUGGUUUGUUUACUUAGUUAGGUGAGGAAGUAAAGUUGAUAGGUAGGGCAAGGCUAGAUAAAUAAAAGGUACGUAAGGUCAGAGAAGGUUAGGAUCGUGGUUUGUUUACUUAGUUAGGUGAGGAAGUAAAGUUGAUAGGUAGGGAAAGGCUAGAUAAAUAAAAGGUACGUAAGGUCAGAGAAGGUUAAGAUCGUGGUUUGUUGACGCACUUCUCCUCCCGAAAUUGACCUCUCUUUUGGCCACUUAUUACUCUUGUUUUUGUGGGAACAGCGAUUAGCGGGCUUUUUUUUUUUAAACCUUUUUUUGUUGCCCUUGAGCUGUUUCCUUAGCUAUAAAAAAAAGUAGGUAGGUAGGUAAGGGGGUAAGGUAAGGUGGAGAGGUAAGUGUCUUCUGAGGCCUGUGGAUUAGGGUAGAUUUUCUUGGAUUAUUCUGGAUUGGAUUCGUUUGCAAGUAGAUUUUUUUUAUUCUUUGAGGGGGGAGGGAUGUCCAGUUUGUUGUUGUUGUUGUUGUUGUUGUUGUUGUUGUUGUUUUUUUAGUAGUAACGGUUGUAGUAGAAGAGAGAGAG
This is a long non-coding RNA of Eriocheir sinensis (Chinese mitten crab), 809 nucleotides long. RefSeq lists it as uncharacterized. The transcript has 3 exons. The record is from RefSeq and is a predicted model, not a curated record. Lineage: Eukaryota; Metazoa; Arthropoda; Malacostraca; Decapoda; Varunidae.